This 1724-nucleotide long non-coding RNA is filed under the name Manihot esculenta (cassava). RNAcentral's name for it is "long non-coding RNA (MESC_LNC004247)". Lineage: Eukaryota; Viridiplantae; Streptophyta; Magnoliopsida; Malpighiales; Euphorbiaceae. The record is from RNAcentral.
AAUUUUUGCCUAUAGCCUAUGCUUAAAUUUUAUACAUUUGGAAUUUGCUGCAAAUAGGCAUGUAUGGCAAGAGCCAGCAAGCAAAUGGAUAACGUUGGUCAUAUUUCCAUGAUAGAGAAAGACACUUUCAUCGUUAAACCCGAAAGCCGAAAAGCUCUCCACCAUCCCAGAACACUUUCUCCCUUGUCAUUCAUUCAUUCAUAAAUGUGAUCCCAAGAAAAAAAACUACAGAGUUUUGAAAAGACAAAAGGUAGGAAUUAAUGUCACUGAAAAUGGCGUUUUGUCCCCAUCUCUCUUUCUCUCUCCCUUUCUCAUUUGCCCAAGCUUGCUUUCCUUCUAGAGCCUUGAGGCAUUAGCAGAGAUAAAAAAGAUUGAGCACUUACAAGUUGCAACUAUUGCUGAUAAGCAUGUGAAUUUCUCUCCUGGCUUUGGGAGCAAUCAGAUGAAUCCUGUUCAAGUUUAGAGCAGCCACCGACCCAUUAUUAAUAAGUGGCCAACAGCCAAACCUGAUGACCUGUGACAAUGAAAUAUGCAUAAUAAUGGAGAGUUAACAUAUGGGAUUAGAAGGCUGCAUAAUUAAGGGAAUUACUACAACCAGACAAAUAAGUCAUGGACUCUAUGUCCAAUGCCUAAGCUAUCAACUCUGCAUAUAAAAUGAUAUAAAUUUGGUCACUUCAGAUAAAAAGAGAAUGUUUAAAAGCCGCAAUGCACCAACUCCUACAGCUUGAUUUUGACUGAAAGGAUAAAAUAUUUUUAAACAAUCUAUCAUGAUUUCUUCAUGCAACUACCAACAUCUCCAUUUGCUGAACUGCCUUUAUUCAUGAAAGUCUGAUAAACCUCUACAAAGCAAUCAAUGAAAUAACAUUAACAAAAGAACCCACCAAGAAGAUCAACAUUGACAAAGAAAUAUUUUUGGUCUUUUUGCUAUUGGGGAAGGUUGCAGUUUCAUUCACUACAUUAUCACAGGCAUAGAAUGUAGAUUCUGCAGCACCAGCACCAGCACCAGUACAACAAAAGUUAAAAAGGCAAAGUCAGCUUGUAAACCUAUUUCCAAUAAAGCUUGAUGCAUGUUUAGUUGUUCGCAUUCCAAGUUGAACAACCCUUCUCUAUUAUUUCUCACAUCAUUCUCUUUUAGACUUGAAAACUUUAUCAUAAUUGCCAAAUAACAGGUGAAUGGUUGUUCUACUAGCAUAGCAAUGAUAUCGUUAACAGAAAAUACAACUUAUGAAAAUGAUUAUCUAAAGCAAUUAGAUCUCAUUUUUGGAACCCAACUUAUGAAAAUGAUGACUAGGCCUAUGUUAAUGAAUAAGAUCCCUUCUGAAGGAAUGAAUUAGGAAAACUUACCCAAUUUGAGAAUGACAAUUGUAGCCCAUAAGGGAGACCCAAAAGAAACCUACUUUUAGGAAAAGUGAGAAAUGUCUCUUGGCUACAACUAAAAGGUAUAUGACACAUGUCAGCGAUGAUUAUAAAGAGCAAAUCACAACACUAGUUCCUAAACAAACCAGCCUCAGUACAAGCAAAAUCGCUUGACACAGAUAAGUGAAAAAAGCAUAAGACAAUGAUAGGGAUGGGUUCUUCAUGUGGAGCGUGCAAGUUCCUAAGAAGAAAGUGCAUGAAUGAUUGUGUCUUUGCACCUUACUUCUGUUAUGACGAGGCUGCAACACACUUUGCAGCAGUGCACAAGGUGUUUGGCGCAAGCAAUGUUUCAAAGCUAUUAUUACACC